ACCUCCUUCCCCACCGCUGAAGAGGCGGCGUGGUUGUUUUUUAAUAUACACUGCCCCCUCUGGCUUCCCUCUCCGCUGCUUCUCUGCUGCCAGGUGCCAAGCUCCUGCAGGAAUUAGGAGAGAAGAGGACAGCAGCGAAGCUUUACGGAUCAUGUCAGCCAGGCCACACCAUGUCCUCGGGCAACACGGGAGAAAAUGGAAAAGGUGCUGGUUGGAAAAUCUGGCAAAAUCUGUCACUUCUGGGGCACGGGAGGCACAGGAACAUUUUUCAGCCUCGAAGUGCAGUCCUCAUCCCUGCAGCCGGCAGGGUUCAUGUAAUUGGACGUCCAUUUAUUUUUGUUUCUUUCGCGGUUUUGCUUAGCAAUGUUAGCACUUACACAAUCUCCAGCAGCCUUGGAUACGAGCACCUCAUGACAACGAGCAGGGGACAGGAUUCGUGCCGCCACGGCUGCUGCGUUUCGCUCGGAGACAGGUGUUCUCGGGGAUGGCUGGGAGAAAGUGGGCUUUGGGUGGGGAAAACUAUCUUUAUAACAGAUAGGUCUAAGAAUAGACCGACUCCUUGGCUUGGACCCAUCUCUCAGAGACAUCCAGAUGGGAAUCCUGAGUCCAGUGAGUCAGACCGUCUGUGCAAGAUGAGGGGGCAGAGGGCUCCUUCUCUGCAGAUCUUGCUGGAUAAGCAGGAUUUAGGGAGCAUUUUCACCCCCGUGAAAGCUCCCCGUGACCCGGCAGGGUUUUGGGGCACCCGUGCAGAAGGUUAUGGCUGUGGGCAAGACCGUUUUCAUAUGUUUUCCCCAAAAAUACAGCCACCAGCACAUCCCUCGCUGGCUGCGCACCGGGAAAGCUCUCCCAAGAAGGCAGAAAGGGAAAUUUGAUGGCACUGUUCCAGAAGAGGAAAUGAGGCAGAGAUGCGCUCAAAGCAUCUGAGGAAAAGGGCUUGUCCUCCUGUGGGUUCAGAGAGGAUUUUGCUCAAAGGAGAGAAAGGAGAAGGUGGUCCAAAAAGGCUGGAUUUGUCCCCGUUGUGAGAUCCCCUGUUGCCUCCCUUCGCUGGUGGGCAAAGGACAAUAUUUCUAAAGCAAAAAUGGGCAAAGAACAAAGCGGUGGCAGGGCUUUUUGAAGCUAUUUGAUACAUUUUCACACAUAGCAGGCACAUAACCCUUAUUUGAUUGGGUAUGCCAGAAAUGAACUUUCUCUUGAAUGUAUGGCCUUUCAGAGCUGGCACAGAAAAGCUGGCCAGAUAAACACAGCGUUGGUUUUGGUAUUCUUUAGAAGUGGCUUUGAAGCUGUAAGGAUCACUGCUCUUGGAUUGAGUGAUGUCAGGAAUCAUCCCUCAGGAGGCAACUGGGUCAUUCAGAAACCAAGCCAAAACCAAGGUCUUUUCAAGGUGGUAUUUCUAAGAGUGAAUGGAGAAAUCUUCGCUCUCGAACCUGUGUGCUCACAGCAGAAAAUUAAUUGAAAUUAUUCAGAGUCCAAUCCUGCUCUCCUCGCGCUGUGACUAAUCUAAGCGAGAUGAAUAGGCUACUUGUAGAACAAGAAACUGCUCAGCAUGACUAACUUUGGAGGAAUCAAGCCCUCGCUGAGCAUUAUUAACCAGGUUUGAAGCACAGUGCUCAUUUUGUGUUCUCCCACUGAACGUCAGGCAGUUUUCUCCGUUCCUUUAGCUUUCCAAGAUGCCCAGGAAGGUGGCCUUUCAAACCGUGCCAACAAAACAAGCUUGCCAUGAGAGGUGCAAAUGGUAUUCUUGCAGGUGUCAAACAGCUACGCCACGUGCAAGGAGUGAAGUCACUCCUUGUAGCACCCUCAGUGUCAAAAUGCUGCUUCCCGGAGCCAGCUGAAGGCAGAUGAUGUCAAGGCACAGCUCAGGACCUUCCCCUGCAUUUCUCAGGGCACUCGUUUCUGCAGCCAUCUGCUGCGCAGAGCCGAUGCUCUCGGUGGUGUUCAUUAUGAGACAUGGUUUUAAAGCAUUUAACAUAACCACAGCCUGACAGACAGGAAGAUGUUUAUCCCCUUAGGGAAGGGAUCAACAAAAGUGCAUCUGGAAGCAAAGCAACGCGUUUGGAUCCUGUCCUUGUGGCCUGGCUCCAUAAAAGAGGAAGCCAAUCUUUCUUUUUUGCCUUCAGGAGGACUUUACACUUUUGAUCCAGAAAUGUGUUAGCAGAGAUCAGAGAGAGGAGGUGGCAUCCCAGAUGGCCCACUUGGAUCCAUCCUUGGAUUUCCCCAGAAGGGGAUCCUAAUGAUCUUUCUGAGUCCUGCUUUUUCGUUUUCUGUGUCCCAUGCGGGCAGCUCAGCCUCUCUAAAGGCAGAAAGGAGACAUCUGCCCGGCAGCAGCGCCGGCACGCUGAGGAACUGGUGCAUGUUCCAGAUAGCUACUAUUUUUCUCUUUGCACCUGACCUAAGGCAAGGACUUUUCCCUUGGUUCUAGUAUCAGGAGAAAAAAUAAAAAAUAAAUAAUAAAUCCUGAAGUUAUGGCUACCUAUUAAGCUAUUCUAAUUUAUUUAGUGUUGGUCUUUACGUAAUCAGGUCUUAUAUAGGACUACAGGCUUUCUGAUUAUCCCCUGCUCAACACACAUGAAAGGCAGGCUUGUAAUUCAUGCUACGAUCCAGGAUGCUGUGAGCAGCAGCGGAGAGGACCACCCCGAGGCUGAGUCAUGCCACCUACACCAGACACCUCGCCCAGGAGGCUGUGAGUCAGCCGUGAGAGCGCCCAUCUCCCCGCGGAUGGCAGGGACAGGGACGGCUGGCACAUGGCAGCUGCCCAGAUUUUCGGUGGCUGGGCUUAGGUGAACUCUGCCCCGGCUCCCUGCCGUCAGAAACGGGGCAUUCUGCCUUUAAACCCCGGUGGUCACAAGUUAUGGACACAUCUGAACCCCUUUGCUUUGCUCAUCCUACUCGAGUUUGGCGCUGGAAAGCUGCUCUGCCUCUUCGAGAGCUGGCUCUGGGAGCAUUUGUCAAACUGAGAGCAUUUACAGGAGACUCCUGCUCUUUAAUGGGGCCUCAUAAGUUCCUUCUAAACUUCUGAUAUCUACUGGGAAGAGGGACAGUGGCCUUCUUGCAGGGGUCACAGGGCUUUCUUCAUCUUGGCUCCCACCACCAAACCCACCAUCUUGGCUUCCCACCAAAGCCAGCAUCAUUCCCACUGGUCUUUAUGGACUCAGGGGGUUCAUUUAUAUCUCUGCAGUGCGUGCCAGGUGCUGAUUUUUCUUUUCAACAAGCAUUUCCUUUCAUUUAUCUACAUUGCAUCUCCUGUGCCUUGUAUUGCCCUUCAGCUCCCUUCAGGUUCUUGAAAGCUCUUUGCUCCUAUGGUCACAACUUUACUCCAUUACUGCCCUAUAGCUCAGAAGGGCUCGUGCACAACAUUGUGCCUUUUGGACAAACUGUCACCAGCCAGAGGCUCGCGUGGCUUUGUGCUGAUGCCAUGCUCUGAAGCCUCUUACGGAGGCUUAUUUUCUUGUUAAGUAGCUCUUCUCAACCUGGACACGCUCUCCUAUUGACUUAAAGGUCAUGUUUAACCUCCAAAAUCCCCGUCCAGAAUCCUGCGGGCUGCAACGUGAAUUUUUGAGCAGAGAAGGAUCGAGUCUGGGGAAAAACUGCAAGGAAUGAUGCUGCGGAGAAAUAUCCCACCAUCUCCUAAACACCCUGCCUGAGCUCUUGGCUUCUCUUGUGGCUACAGAAUGCUACCUAAGACAUAUAGCCCAUGUUGCAGUUUCCCUUUGGAACAAAUUAUAACAUUUUUAGCUAAA
Molecule: long non-coding RNA, 3737 nt
Organism: Anas platyrhynchos (mallard)
Lineage: Eukaryota; Metazoa; Chordata; Aves; Anseriformes; Anatidae
Source: RefSeq, a predicted model, not a curated record